AGAAUCAACGCUGGCGGCGUGCCUAACACAUGCAAGUCGAACGAGAAAGUGGAGCAAUCCAUGAGUAAAGUGGCGCACGGGUGAGUAACACGUGACUAACCUACCCUUGAGUGGGGGAUAACCUAGAGAAAUCUGGGCUAAUACCGCAUAAUACCUUCGGGUCAAAGGAGCAAUUCGCUUUAGGAGGGGGUCGCGGCCGAUUAGGUUAGUUGGCGGGUAAUGGCCCACCAAGACUGUGAUCGGUAUCC
RNAcentral lists this ribosomal RNA (248 nucleotides) under uncultured bacterium. RNAcentral describes it as "partial small subunit ribosomal RNA". It matches the Rfam family "Bacterial small subunit ribosomal RNA", at positions 26 to 288 of the family's 1533-position model. The record is from RNAcentral.